RNAcentral lists this ribosomal RNA (440 nucleotides) under uncultured bacterium. Its description in RNAcentral is "bacterial SSU rRNA". It matches the Rfam family "Bacterial small subunit ribosomal RNA", at positions 958 to 1397 of the family's 1533-position model. The record is from RNAcentral.
AACGCGAAGAACCUUACCUGGGCUCGAACGGCUUUGGAUCAACGGUAGAAAUACUGUCUUCCCGCAAGGGACCGGAGUCGAGGUGCUGCAUGGCUGUCGUCAGCUCGUGUCGUGAGAUGUUGGGUUAAGUCCCGCAACGAGCGCAACCCUUGUCCUGUGUUGCCACUCCGUAAGGAAGCACUCUCAGGAGACCGCCAGCGAUAAGUUGGAGGAAGGUGGGGAUGAUGUCAAGUCAUCAUGGCCUUUAUGUCCAGGGCUACACACGUGCUACAAUGGGCGGUACAAAGCGCUGCAAACCCGCGAGGGGGAGCUAAUCGCAAAAAACCGUUCUCAGUUCGGAUCGCAGGCUGCAACCCGCCUGCGUGAAGCUGGAAUCGCUAGUAAUGGCGUAUCAGAAUGAUGCCGUGAAUACGUUCCCGGGCCUUGUACACACCGCGAGC